CCUACGGGAGGCAGCAGUGGGGUAUAUUGCACAAUGGGGGAAACCCUGAUGCAGCAACGCCGCGUGAGUGAAGAAGUAUUUCGGCAUGUAAAGCUCUAUCAGCAGGGAAGAAGAUGACGGUACCUGAUCAAGAAGCCCCGGCUAACUACGUGCCAGCAGCCGCGGUAAUACGUAGGGGGCAAGCGUUAUCCGGAUUUACUGGGUGUAAAGGGGGCGCAGACGGCAGUGCAAGUCUGGAGUGAAAGCCCGGGGCCCAACCCCGGCACUGCUCUGGAAACUGGACGGCUAGAGUACUGGAGGGGCAGGCGGAAUUCCUAGUGUAGCGGUGAAAUGCGUAGAUAUUAGGAGGAACACCAGUGGCGAAGGCGGCCUGCUGGACAGUAACUGACGUUGAGGCUCGAAAGCGUGGGGAGCAAACAGGAUUAGAUACCCGAGUAGUC
This 440-nucleotide ribosomal RNA is filed under the name uncultured bacterium. RNAcentral's name for it is "partial 16S ribosomal RNA". It matches the Rfam family "Bacterial small subunit ribosomal RNA", at positions 338 to 795 of the family's 1533-position model. The record is from RNAcentral.